CGGUAAACAAAGGGAAGCGAUCACGUGAGUGUAAGCAAAUCUCAAAAAUAAACGUCCCAGUUCGGAUUGCAGUCUGCAACCCGACUACAUGAAGCUGGAAUCGCUAGUAAUCGCGAAUCAGCAUGUCGCGGUGAAUACGUUCCCGGGUCUUGUACACACCGCCCGUCACACCAUGGGAGUUGGCAACGCCCGAAGCCAGUGACCCAACCGAGAGGAGGGAGCUGUCGAAGGCGGGGCCGGUAACUGGGGUGAAGUCGUAACAAGGUACC
RNAcentral lists this ribosomal RNA (269 nucleotides) under uncultured bacterium. RNAcentral describes it as "partial 16S ribosomal RNA". It matches the Rfam family "Bacterial small subunit ribosomal RNA", at positions 1234 to 1500 of the family's 1533-position model. The record is from RNAcentral.